AUUGAACGCUGGCGGCAGGCCUAACACAUGCAAGUCGAACGGUAACAGGAAGCAGCUUGCUGCUUUGCUGACGAGUGGCGGACGGGUGAGUAAUGUCUGGGAAACUGCCUGAUGGAGGGGGAUAACUACUGGAAACGGUAGCUAAUACCGCAUAACGUCACAAGACCAAAGAGGGGGACCUUCGGGCCUCUUGCCAUCGGAUGUGCCCAGAUGGGAUUAGCUAGUAGGUGGGGUAACGGCUCACCUAGGCGACGAUCCCUAGCUGGUCUGAGAGGAUGACCAGGCACACUGGAACUGAGACACGGUCCAGACUCCUACGGGAGGCAGCAGUGGGGAAUAUUGCACAAUGGGCGCAAGCCUGAUGCAGCCAUGCCGCGUGUAUGAAGAAGGCCUUCGGGUUGUAAAGUACUUUCAGCGGGGAGGAAGGGAGUAAAGUUAAUACCUUUGCUCAUUGACGUUACCCGCAGAAGAAGCACCGGCUAACCCCGUG
Molecule: ribosomal RNA, 490 nt
Filed under: uncultured bacterium
Lineage: Bacteria
Description: partial 16S ribosomal RNA
Rfam family: Bacterial small subunit ribosomal RNA
Source: RNAcentral